GAGCGAGAACCUGGCCUUCGGGCCUGGGGAAAGCGGCGAACGGGUGAGUAACACGUGGGUAACCCACCCUUGGUACCGGGAUAGCCCGAGGAAACUCGGAUUAAUACCGGAUGGCCCAACAGCUCUUCGGGGCGGUUGGAAAAGGUAGCUUCGGCCUCCGACCAAGGACGGGCCCGCGGCGGAUUAGCUUGUUGGUGAGGUAACGGCUCACCAAGGCGACGAUCCGUAGCUGGUAUGAGAGGACGAUCAGCCACACUGGGACUGAGACACGGCCCAGACUCCUACGGGAGGCAGCAGUGGGGAAUCUUGCGCAAUGGGCGAAAGCCUGACGCAGCGACGCCGCGUGGGGGAAGAAGGCUUUCGGGUUGUAAACCCCUUUCAGGAAGGACGAAGCCACUCGGGUGAAGAGCCCAGAGGGUGACGGGACUUACCAGAAGAAGCCCCGGCUAACGCACGUG
This 458-nucleotide ribosomal RNA is filed under the name uncultured bacterium. RNAcentral's name for it is "bacterial SSU rRNA". It matches the Rfam family "Bacterial small subunit ribosomal RNA", at positions 64 to 507 of the family's 1533-position model. The record is from RNAcentral.